This 478-nucleotide ribosomal RNA is filed under the name uncultured Sphingobacteriales bacterium. RNAcentral's name for it is "bacterial SSU rRNA". It matches the Rfam family "Bacterial small subunit ribosomal RNA", at positions 902 to 1382 of the family's 1533-position model. The record is from RNAcentral. Lineage: Bacteria; Pseudomonadati; Bacteroidota; Sphingobacteriia; Sphingobacteriales.
CAAAUGAAGUUGACGGGGCCCGCACAAGCGGUGGAGCAUGUGGUUUAAUUCGAUGAUACGCGAGGAACCUUACCUGGGCUCAAAUGUAUGUUGACGUAUUCUGAAAGGGAUACUUCUUCGGACAAUAUACAAGGUGCUGCAUGGUUGUCGUCAGCUCGUGCCGUGAGGUGUCGGGUUAAGUCCCAUAACGAGCGCAACCCCUAUCAUUAGUUGCCAUCAGGUCAAGCUGGGGACUCUAAUGAAACUGCCUACGCAAGUAGUGAGGAAGGUGGGGAUGACGUCAAAUCAGCACGGCCCUUACGUCCAGGGCUACACACGUGUUACAAUGGCCAGUACAGAGGGCAGCCACCCCGCGAGGGGGCGCUAAUCCUAAAAGCUGGUCCCAGUUCGGAUCGGAGUCUGCAACCCGACUCCGUGAAGCUGGAUUCGCUAGUAAUCGCGCAUCAGCCACGGCGCGGUGAAUACGUUCCCGGGCCUU